This 253-nucleotide ribosomal RNA is filed under the name uncultured bacterium. RNAcentral describes it as "partial 16S ribosomal RNA". It matches the Rfam family "Bacterial small subunit ribosomal RNA", at positions 524 to 776 of the family's 1533-position model. The record is from RNAcentral.
UACGUAGGGCGCGAGCGUUGUCCGGAAUCAUUGGGCGUAAAGCGCGUGUAGGCGGCCCGAUAAGUCCGCUGUGAAAGUCCAGGGCUCAACCCUGGGAUGCCGGUGGAUACUGUCGGGCUCGAGUCCGGAAGAGGCGAGUGGAAUUCCCGGUGUAGCGGUGAAAUGCGCAGAUAUCGGGAAGAACACCCGUGGCGAAGGCGGCUCUCUGGGACGGUACUGACGCUGAGACGCGAAAGCGUGGGGAGCGAACAGG